This 253-nucleotide ribosomal RNA is filed under the name uncultured bacterium. RNAcentral's name for it is "partial 16S ribosomal RNA". It matches the Rfam family "Bacterial small subunit ribosomal RNA", at positions 524 to 776 of the family's 1533-position model. The record is from RNAcentral.
UACGUAGGGGGCAAGCGUUGUCCGGAAUCAUUGGGCGUAAAGCGCGUGUAGGCGGUUCGAUAAGUCUGCUGUGAAAGUCCAGGGCUCAACCCUGGAAAGCCGGUGGAUACUGUCAGGCUCGAGUCCGGAAGAGGCGAGUGGAAUUCCUGGUGUAGCGGUGAAAUGCGCAGAUAUCAGGAGGAACACCAAUGGCGAAGGCAGCUCGCUGGGACGGUACUGACGCUGAGACGCGAAAGCGUGGGGAGCAAACAGG